Molecule: ribosomal RNA, 754 nt
Filed under: uncultured Actinomyces sp.
Lineage: Bacteria; Bacillati; Actinomycetota; Actinomycetes; Actinomycetales; Actinomycetaceae
Description: bacterial SSU rRNA
Rfam family: Bacterial small subunit ribosomal RNA
Source: RNAcentral
GACGAACGCUGGCGGCGUGCUUAACACAUGCAAGUCGAACGCUGAAGCCUGGCUUUUGUUGGGUGGAUGAGUGGCGAACGGGUGAGUAACACGUGAGUAACCUGCCCUCUUCUUUGGGAUAACGCCCGGAAACGGGUGCUAAUACUGGAUAUUCACUUGCCUUCGCAUGGGGGUGGGUGGAAAGGGUUUUUUCUGGUGGGGGAUGGGCUCGCGGCCUAUCAGCUUGUUGGUGGGGUGAUGGCUUACCAAGGCUUUGACGGGUAGCCGGCCUGAGAGGGUGACCGGUCACAUUGGGACUGAGAUACGGCCCAGACUCCUACGGGAGGCAGCAGUGGGGAAUAUUGCACAAUGGGCGCAAGCCUGAUGCAGCGACGCCGCGUGAGGGAUGGAGGCCUUCGGGUUGUGAACCUCUUUCGCUCAUGGUCAAGCCGCAACUCAUGGUUGUGGUGAGGGUAGUGGGUAAAGAAGCGCCGGCUAACUACGUGCCAGCAGCCGCGGUAAUACGUAGGGCGCGAGCGUUGUCCGGAAUUAUUGGGCGUAAAGGGCUUGUAGGCGGUUGGUCGCGUCUGCCGUGAAAUCCUCUGGCUUAACUGGGGGCGUGCGGUGGGUACGGGCUGGCUUGAGUGCGGUAGGGGAGACUGGAACUCCUGGUGUAGCGGUGGAAUGCGCAGAUAUCAGGAAGAACACCGGUGGCGAAGGCGGGUCUCUGGGCCGUUACUGACGCUGAGGAGNNAAAGCGUGGGGAGCGAACAGG